GUCGUCGGCUGUAACCGCGGUUUGGUGGUCUGCGUCAUUGUUACCCUCCGCCCGCUCGCUGGUGCCAUAGGACGCCUCGCAUCCUCCCGCAACCUCGUCGUAAGCAUCGUAGUCGUCGUAUUCCUCCUCCUGACGUGCCAAGGCGAGUAAGAGAUGUCACAACACUGCGUCUGUCGACGAUGAAGACUGAAAAACCCCAGCUCUGAAAACCUCACCUCCUCCUGCCAAUACUCCUCGUCCUCCAGAUAGGCUGGACCGCGUCUGUUUCGUCCCAUCUCCGCUGCUUCUUAAAUUCAGGGAUCGAGGACAGAACGAGCACGGUCGCUUGGUGGUGGUGGGUGGGGAGGUGGCCUCGCAGCGCGAGAACAGGCCCUUGGCCUUGCACACUGGGCUCAGAUGUCCAUACUGGGCAACGCUUGCGAGAAGGCUGGGCAAAAUGCCGGCCUCAACGCAGGUGCGGAGCGACUCGUCGGCAGGCGAGAACCGGGCCCAAACCGGGGCCCCUAGAGGAUGCAGGCUAAUGUUGAUGACGCCCUCACAGGAGAGGCGUCAAGCACCGGGCCGAUGAAUGCAAGUGUGGGUCUCGGCCUGAAUUGCGCUCGCUUGACGAGUGGUAGAAGCUGCAGGGUAUGUGAGACUAGUUACUGUGGCUUGACAAUAAGCUUGUUAUGGUAUUUCUGCCGCGUG
RNAcentral lists this long non-coding RNA (687 nucleotides) under Chlamydomonas reinhardtii. RNAcentral's name for it is "long non-coding RNA (CREI_LNC001113)". Lineage: Eukaryota; Viridiplantae; Chlorophyta; Chlorophyceae; Chlamydomonadales; Chlamydomonadaceae. The record is from RNAcentral.